RNAcentral lists this ribosomal RNA (407 nucleotides) under bacterium enrichment culture clone ALO1_GLFRUDD03FTZGU. Its description in RNAcentral is "bacterial SSU rRNA". It matches the Rfam family "Bacterial small subunit ribosomal RNA", at positions 9 to 416 of the family's 1533-position model. The record is from RNAcentral.
GAGUUUGAUCGUGGCUCAGAUUGAACGCUGGCGGCAUGCCUUACACAUGCAAGUCGAACGGCAGCACGGGAGCUUGCUCCUGGUGGCGAGUGGCGAACGGGUGAGUAAUGCAUCGGAACGUAUCCUGGAGUGGGGGAUAACGUAGCGAAAGUUACGCUAAUACCGCAUAUUCUGUGAGCAGGAAAGCGGGGGACCCUCGGGCCUCGCGCUCUUGGAGCGGCCGAUGUCGGAUUAGCUAGUUGGUGAGGUAAAGGCUCACCAAGGCGACGAUCCGUAGCAGGUCUGAGAGGAUGAUCUGCCACACUGGAACUGAGACACGGUCCAGACUCCUACGGGAGGCAGCAGUGGGGAAUUUUGGACAAUGGGGGCAACCCUGAUCCAGCCAUGCCGCGUGAGUGAAGAAGGCC